RNAcentral lists this ribosomal RNA (270 nucleotides) under uncultured bacterium. RNAcentral describes it as "partial 16S ribosomal RNA". It matches the Rfam family "Bacterial small subunit ribosomal RNA", at positions 1231 to 1500 of the family's 1533-position model. The record is from RNAcentral.
UGGCGUAAACAGAGGGAAGCGAACCCGCGAGGGGGAGCGAAUCCCAAAAAUAACGUCCCAGUUCGGAUUGUAGUCUGCAACCCGACUACAUGAAGCCGGAAUCGCUAGUAAUCGCGGAUCAGAAUGCCGCGGUGAAUACGUUCCCGGGUCUUGUACACACCGCCCGUCACACCAUGGGAGUCGGAAAUGCCCGAAGUCGGUAGCCUAACCGUAAGGAGGGCGCCGCCGAAGGUGGGAUUGAUGACUGGGGUGAAGUCGUAACAAGGUACC